UACGUAGGGGGCGAGCGUUGUCCGAAUUUACUGGGCGUAAAGCGCGCGUAGGCGGGGGGUUAAGUGAGAGGUGAAAGGCUGGGGCUCAACCUCAUGCAGUGCCUCUCAUACUGGCCUUCUUGAGGGCGGUAGGGAGAAGUGGAAUGGCUGGUGUAGCGGUGAAAUGCGUAGAUAUCAGUCGGAACACCGGUGGCGAAGGCGGCUUCUUGGGCCGUUCCUGACGCUGAUGCGCGAAAGCUGGGGGAGCGAACGGG
This 254-nucleotide ribosomal RNA is filed under the name uncultured bacterium. RNAcentral's name for it is "partial 16S ribosomal RNA". It matches the Rfam family "Bacterial small subunit ribosomal RNA", at positions 524 to 776 of the family's 1533-position model. The record is from RNAcentral.